Molecule: long non-coding RNA, 467 nt
Organism: Solea solea (common sole)
Lineage: Eukaryota; Metazoa; Chordata; Actinopteri; Pleuronectiformes; Soleidae
Exons: 3
Source: RefSeq, a predicted model, not a curated record
CUGUGGCUCUACACUACAUCCCCAGCACAGAAUAGAUGACAACAGAUGACAAUAGACAUUGCUUCAUACAUCAAAUGUUUGAACUGAUCUUUAGGCUUCUUAUACCACGAUACACUGCGCGGUGCAACACAGAUGAACGGUGAAAUGGAGCAUCUGUCAACUUCAGACACCCAGCUGGAACUUCAGGUGGAAACUAGUCAUGAACUGGUUGACUCCUAUACGAGCGUCAUCUAUGAGGUCAAAGAGCAUUGUACACCAUAUGAUCAACAGUGUGAAGGAGUUCAUUAGCUCUGAGCCCCUGGCCCAGCUCUAUGCUCUGGGAGAAGGCUCAGCGCUGAUGUAUGAGUCACCAGAGCAGCAGCAGAAGCGCCAGGAGUAAGUGCUUCACAAACGGAGAAAUCACUGGAGAACCCUCCACCUUAACCUGCCCCCAAUCUUCUGCCUCCACCUGUACUCUGGAGGACACA